RNAcentral lists this long non-coding RNA (4019 nucleotides) under Fragaria vesca (wild strawberry). RNAcentral's name for it is "long non-coding RNA (FVES_LNC001909)". Lineage: Eukaryota; Viridiplantae; Streptophyta; Magnoliopsida; Rosales; Rosaceae. The record is from RNAcentral.
UACAAUGGGAAAACAAUUAAAAGUGAUACUCACUUCAUCGUCAUUACUCAUGCUUUUAUUAUCUCUGUUAAUCUGCAAAAGAGAAUUAUUUUCAGAUUUGUCAAGAAAAAAAAAAGGAUUAAUUACUGGUCACUCCAUUAACUUUCAUAUGCUCGAUAGUCUACUCCAUUAACUUUCAAUUUCAAUCGAUUACUCCAUUAACUAUCCAAUGUCACACAAUUAGGUCUAUCCGUUAAGUGGUCGUCCAAAUCAGUGGUUAAGUUGCUGACUGGACAUAUUUUUCAACUGGAAAUUCCAUUAACACCCUCUAUCCCUCCCUCCCUCCUUAAUCUCUUCAAUCUCUUCUCUCUCCUCCUCCACCUCCUCCGCAUCCACAACACCACCACAUCACCAGUUGGACCUCUAACAACACCGCAACAACAAUACGAGCAACCAACCAACCACAUCAACACCAUAAUCAAACACACCGCAACCAGACCACCAGCAACCAACCACACCACCAGUAGCUCACCCCGCAACUCCUCGACAUCUCUCUCCCAACGCCAAAAACUCAAACCCACCUACCUCGCAUCUCUCUCCCGAAGCCCAAAACUCAAACCCUCACAACAAUCUUCUCCCUUCGCCGCCAACCAAACCCUAAACAACACCAUCCAUGAACCUUCCGUUUUCCGCUUCAAACCCAUGCUAGACUUGAAAUCUCAACCACUUCGAAUCCCCAGUCAACAACCUCUUCUCGCUCGCCUCCCUUCCUCUAUAUGAAAUUGAAGCCAUUUGUUUGAUUGGAAACAGAUUUGGGAAUUGGGGAUUUCAAUCCCUAAAAUUUCAGAUUUGGGAAUUGGAAGUGUUGACGGUGAGCCACCAGAGGACGUUGGUGCUGUUGGCGGCCAGAGGUGGGACACCAGCGCGUUAGAGAUGGUGAGGAGGAGGGUGGUGUUGGAGUAGAGGAAGGCGCGGACGAGGUUGGGGUCAGAGACGUCAAGGAGAGGGCGGCGAGGCUAAGAGAAGUGAUGGUCGAGGCCAGGCGCUCUGGUAGCAAAGGGGUGGGGCAAGUGGCGACGGUGGAGGCGAAAUAGGUGACGCCAAUGGUGAUGGAUGAGGCGGCGUCCGGCGAGGAAGAGAAGGGUGAUGAGAGAAACGGCGAAGAGAGAAAAGUGGGAAGCCAUGGCUGGCUGAUGAGUUUUAAAUGUGAGAGAGAGAGAGGAGGGAGGAGAGAGAGAGAGAGAGAGAGAGAGAGAGAGAGAGAGAGAGAGAGAGAGGUAGUAGUAGUANNNNNNNNNNNNNNNNNNNNGAGAGAGAGGUAGGGUGUUAAAUGGAAUUUUUAGUUGAAAAAUAUGUCCAGUCAGCAACUUAACCACUGAUUUGGACGGCCACUUAACGGAUGGACCUAAUUGUGUGACAUUGGAUAGUUAAUGGAGUAAUCAAUUGAAAUUGAAAGUUAAUGGAGUAAACUGUCGAGCGCAUGAAAGUUAAUGGAGUGACCAGUAAUUAAUCCAAAAAAAAGAAGAAGAAUAAGAAGAAAAGAACGGCAGAGAGGUAAUAAAGAAAGAUGAUGCUCACUUCAUCGCCACUAUGCAUGCUAUCAUCAUCACCACUUGUGCUUUCAACUCCACUGGUCUGCAAAAGAGAAUCAAUUUCAAAUUGUGCCAAACAGAAGAAUAAUCUCAAAUGAUUAACUACAAGUUCUACAUCAACAAAAGCAAAGUACCUCGUUUGAGGAGUCAAUGCGGCCUUGUUCGGAAUCUUUCCCAUGAUCAUGUUCCAUAUCAGACAACUCGAUGUGAACUAGAGGACCACGAGGAGAAGAAGAGCUAAUGAACGUUAUGCAAUUACUUCGACGAAGAGGAGUAUUUGGAUCCAAUUAAAUUUCUUUUUGAUGUCUUUUCUUGCUUUUGGGCCCAAUGCAUUUUUCUUCUCUACAUAAUUAGAAGCACUACGUGCCCCAGGGGUCAAAGCAGCCGCCAUGCCCGCCUUCUUUCUCCUCCAAAAUGGUGACUUUGGAGGAAUUAUCAUCUUAACUCCUUUAGGAGUUUUGUACAUGAACUCUUCAAAAGCCACUUUAGGUUUGAAGUGGGAUGAGUACUUCUUGGGGUGGUGCUCCCUUACAAUUUUCUUAUCACUAGAAGUCUUAUCCCUCUCUUUUCUUUUUUUAUCCAUGCCCUUGGCUUCAAAGUCUUUGAAGUGACCAACAAUCUUCUUGGUUCCAUUUUCAUACACCUUAGUAUAAGGAAGGUUAUGUUUCCUAGCAUACGUCAAGACAUUAUUACAACUAGCUAGCCUACUGCUAGUAAGAGAUUAAAACUUCAUCUAGGGCUACCAACCUCCACAAACCAUCAAAACCUGUGCAACACCCCCUUCUAGUAACGACUGUAGUCAGGAGAAGCGUUAGGAUGCAAAAUGUCUCCAAGUAGCUGUGAUGGUAUGUCUGCAAGUCUGCCAGAGAAAUCAUCAAUACAAUCAACUUCUCUAGGUGAAAGCUUCCUAGCCUUCCCGACAGCUCUAAUGGAUAAAGGGGGAUGCACGGGAAUCUCUUGAGAACAACUGAGCUGCCUCAUAACCCUGUCAAGAGAAUAAACCACCGGAUUGAAAGCAAGGCUUCUUUGUCCUCGCCAAAGGAAGGAAUAAAACCUGUGUAAUUAGUCAAGUAAAGCUCGACAUGGCCUAAAGAUGUAGCACACUGCUCUUUCCUGCCAUAAAAGGAAAAUGCUUCAAAGCCAUGCCUCUGGAUAUAAGGCUGCAGAGCAAAGUUCUCCGGGUUAUCCAACAUUAUUGGAGCAAACACUUUUUUGUCUUGCCUCCUUUUAAGCCAGCGACACAACAAAGGAAGCUUGGGCGGCAGAUAUAUAACAUUGUUGUCUAAUAUGCCGUUAUACAAUUCCAAAGAUGAGCUCGGGGUCAGUGGUUUUACUUCCAAACACUUGAACCGCUCCCAAAUGAAUGCAUGUAGAAACGUAAUGGAAACCAAAGUGGUGACUCCACGCCGACCAACACUUUCUAGCUCAUCAACAACAAUGAAGUCUAACAAACAGUAAACAUGACCAAGGAACAGCGAAGCUAAAGGAAACCUAUGAAUUGUCGCUAUGGCAACCGCCAGGGGAUACACACGCUGCUUGACAAACUCAUAAAAGAAUUCAAUGGAAACAUACUUUGUUAACCAAAGAGCAAGCAUGGCUGCCAAACGGCAACCCGAGUCGAAACCUUCGCCUGGCAUUAACACACCAUCCUUUAUGACUCCCCAAAAGUGUUUCACCCAAUUUGCAAAACAGCGGCUACUCCCUUUGACACUAGAAGCCCCUGCUAUAAGAAUCUUUAGCUCCUCAUCACACAUGAUUUGUCAAGAGUAAAUCUAAAAGGAUCCAUGGUACCAGUAAUUGGAAGCCUCAUGAUAUUGAAGACAUCCUCCAAGGUGGGAGUGAACUCUCCCCAAGCACAGACAAAUGUGUGUGUGUGAGGAUUUCACCUCCGUACCACGUGAUUAAGAGUCUCAACAUCCCUGUUAAUAUCGCAACGAGAAGAAAUAAAUACGACAGACAAGACCCCAGCUCGUGAUAGUCUUUCUCUUACAACUUCAACCCUUAACUCAUAAUCAACCCACUGCGACCACCCUGUUACAGCACCGCAAGGAUAAGCAAAAUCUAUGGGGACUGCUGGGAAGUCUCCCCUCUCAAUUAAUAACCUGGAGAUGCGCUCAAGGCUAACGUCUCCAGAAGUCUCAUCAACAUCUAUGAAGGGACCCUUCAGACCAUCAUUAACCACAAAAUGGUGAUCUAUCAGACUCAACACUUUAGGGGCCAUAGUUUGUCAAGAUCACUUCAAAAAUAUAUAAGGGCCUGCGUACAUAACAGGAGAAUUUAUGUACAAAGCAAAACUAUCAAGCCACACCGUAUAUCGUUCGUAAGUAAUCUGAAAUUAAGGAAGAGACCAAGCAAAAAUUGUUACAAACAAAACCCUAUAUCCAAAACCAAAAGUCUCUUAUCAUAGCCAAGCCAAGCUGAAAAUCCUAAAUUACACAGCAAGCCAAG